RNAcentral lists this ribosomal RNA (333 nucleotides) under uncultured eukaryote. RNAcentral's name for it is "partial 18S ribosomal RNA". It matches the Rfam family "Eukaryotic small subunit ribosomal RNA", at positions 1470 to 1796 of the family's 1831-position model. The record is from RNAcentral.
CCCUUAGAUGUUCUGGGCCGCACGCGUGCUACACUGAGUGGAUCAGCGGGUCAGGUUGCGCGAAAGCGUUUCCUAAUCUUUAAAUCCGCUCGUGAUGGGGAUUGACGGUUGCAAUUUUCUGUCAUGAACGAGGAAUACCUUGUAAGCGCGGGUCAUCAUCCCGCGCUGAAUACGUCCCUGCCCUUUGUACACACCGCCCGUCGCUACUGCCGACUGAGAUGUGGGUCCCAAAGUGUUAGGAUUGCCCCGCUGCGAGGCCUACCCGGCCCCGAUUGCGGUCACGGCAAGAAUAUCAUUAAGUGGAAUGUCUUGUAGGGAGUAAAAGUCGUAACA